UCACUGGAUGAUGAAGAGAUUGUGUCCUAUAUUCUCACUGGCCUUGACAUUGAUUUUAACCCAAUUGUACUAGCCAUAGUUGCAAGGGUUGAACCAAUCACAGUCAAUGAAUUGUAUGCUCAGCUGUUAAGCUUUAAAA
Phragmites australis (common reed) is the source of this 139-nucleotide small nucleolar RNA. RefSeq annotates it as small nucleolar RNA Z247. The record is from RefSeq and is a predicted model, not a curated record. The transcript has a single exon. NCBI's taxonomy places the organism in Eukaryota, Viridiplantae, Streptophyta, Magnoliopsida, Poales, Poaceae.